Molecule: ribosomal RNA, 399 nt
Filed under: uncultured bacterium
Lineage: Bacteria
Description: bacterial SSU rRNA
Rfam family: Bacterial small subunit ribosomal RNA
Source: RNAcentral
UGAUUAGCUAGUUGGUGGGAUAAAAGCCCACCAAGGCAACGAUCAGUAGCUGGUCUGAGAGGACGAUCAGCCACACUGGAACUGAGACACGGUCCAGACUCCUACGGGAGGCAGCAGUGAGGAAUAUUGGUCAAUGGGGGAAACCCUGAACCAGCGACGCCGCGUGAAGGAUGAAGGGGCUUUGCCUUGUAAACUUCUGUCGGAAGGGAAGAAAAGCCGGGUCGCCCGGCUGGGACUGUACCUUCAAAGGAAGGGUCGGCUAACUACGUGCCAGCAGCCGCGGUAAUACGUAGGACCCAAGCGUUGUCCGGAUUUACUGGGUGUAAAGGGUGCGCAGGCGGAUUCGUGCGUCAGAGGUUAAAUACCCCGGCUUAACCGGGGAAGUGCCUUUGAUACGGC